Molecule: long non-coding RNA, 1090 nt
Filed under: Monodelphis domestica (gray short-tailed opossum)
Lineage: Eukaryota; Metazoa; Chordata; Mammalia; Didelphimorphia; Didelphidae
Description: lncRNA (ENSMODG00000049914.1)
Source: RNAcentral
CCUUCCUAAAUCCUGUUAGGACUGAGUAGGGUGGAAAUUGUAUUCUCCAAGACCUGGCUCUGUCACUCCAAGCAUCUCCAUUGUAUCAAUUCUAAAAUCAAUCAUGACUCAAAGAACCUCCUGCUCCAUGCUUAAGCAUAGGUCAAAGCCCUUUCCAUUGUUCAGCAAAAGGUUUAUGUCCUAAAGUAAUCUCAGGUAGGGAGGAGAAGGACCCUCCCUACCUAAUGUUGGAAAUCAGGUAAAGCCCCUGAUGUUGUCCAGUCUACUUCCCUGCCUCCUGCAUCCCAGUGUAGACUACAUGACUCUGAGUUUGAACUCUAUCACAGAAACAAGGACUGUGUAAGGGAAAUCAUUGGGUGAAUUGAGUCACAAGUAUAGACUAACAGCAGGAAAAAUGUAGCAGUAGAGUCAAGAGGUCAAGAGACAGGGGGGAACAGGGUGGUCUUACCUGCAGUACCCACUGGACUGCCCUCCUGGGGGACACAGGCAAAAUAGGAAGCCAUAGUUGGCUCCCAAGACAUGACAUAUAAGUUAGUGGAUGGAGACAAGGUUUGAUAAACUGAAGCAAGAGUGAAUUUCUCUCUCUUUGCUUCUGGGUUUGGUGCUGACUGGACUUCCCGUGUAGUAGGGGGCCCUCAUAGUAUCCAUAAUAGUAGUAGUCUUUUGGUAACCGAGGAUGACGAUUGUCUUUGUGUGCUUUCAUCUGUGAUGUAGAUGAGUGUGCACAAAGACACUUGUGCAUGAAGGAGAUUUAAGUGGAAAAGUCGAUGCACAGAGACAAUCCCACUCUCGACGUUGGAAGCCUGGGUCCAGUGGCACGAAAAGUUGUUACACCUGGAGACUUCCUCAGCUGCAUUGGAUGGCCAUGUUGUCUUUUGUGCUCCAACACGCCCUAAGCACUCCACAGUGCUUUGCUGCAUUGCCCUCUCAGCCGUUGAACCUUCUUAUUGGUUUCUUCCAUCUGUUCCGCCGAAGCAGUCUUCACAUGCUAGAUUGUAUCCAGUUUGAGAUUGUUCUGAUCUGGGCCUCCUUUACUCUGCAUAGCCCUCUAGGAUACUGAAACAAAAUAAAACACUUUGAGAUCAUUCCA